Molecule: ribosomal RNA, 292 nt
Filed under: uncultured bacterium
Lineage: Bacteria
Description: partial 16S ribosomal RNA
Rfam family: Bacterial small subunit ribosomal RNA
Source: RNAcentral
GUGUCAGCAGCCGCGGUAAGACAGAGGGUGCAAACGUUGUUCGGAAUUACUGGGCGUAAAGCGCGUGUAGGCUGCUUCGAAAGUCGGAUGUGAAAGCCCUGGGCUCAACCUAGGAAGUGCAUUCGAAACUUCGAAGCUGGAGUCCUGGAGAGGAAGGCGGAAUUCUCGGUGUAGAGGUGAAAUUCGUAGAUAUCGAGAGGAACACCGGUGGCGAAGGCGGCCUUCUGGACAGUGACUGACGCUGAGACGCGAAAGCGUGGGGAGCAAACAGGAUUAGAUACCCCGGUAGUCC